GAUAUAGCUGUGUUGGAAGAGUGUGAGACUCUUAAUCUCAGGGUUGUGGGUUUGAGCCCCACGUUGGGCCA
Podarcis lilfordi (Lilford's wall lizard) is the source of this 71-nucleotide non-coding RNA. NCBI's taxonomy places the organism in Eukaryota, Metazoa, Chordata, Lepidosauria, Squamata, Lacertidae. The record is from the annotation of a GenBank genome assembly.